UACGGAGGGUGCAAGCGUUGUCCGGAUUUAUUGGGUUUAAAGGGUGCGUAGGCGGCUUAGUAAGUCCGUGGUGAAAGCCAACAGCUCAACUGUUGAACUGCCAUGGAUACUGUUAGGCUUGAGUACAGACGAGGUAGGCGGAAUGGAUCGUGUAGCGGUGAAAUGCAUAGAUACGAUCCAGAACACCGAUUGCGUAGGCAGCUUACUAGGCUGUAACUGACGCUGAGGCACGAAAGCGUGGGGAGCGAACAGG
RNAcentral lists this ribosomal RNA (253 nucleotides) under uncultured bacterium. RNAcentral's name for it is "partial 16S ribosomal RNA". It matches the Rfam family "Bacterial small subunit ribosomal RNA", at positions 524 to 776 of the family's 1533-position model. The record is from RNAcentral.